Molecule: ribosomal RNA, 703 nt
Filed under: uncultured bacterium
Lineage: Bacteria
Description: bacterial SSU rRNA
Rfam family: Bacterial small subunit ribosomal RNA
Source: RNAcentral
GCGGCAGCUACACGUGCAGUCGAGCGCUCCCUUCGGAGUGAGCGGCGGACGGGAUAGAGGGAGAGGGAAGGUGCCCUUCUCUAAGGAAGCGCCACUGGGGACGGUGACUAAUACCUUAUACGCCCUUCGGGGGAAAGAUUUAUCGGUGAAGGAUCGGCCCGCUUUAGAUCCCGUACUUGGGGGGGAAACGGCCUACCAUGCCUACGAUCUAUAGCUGGUUUUACAGGAUGAUCAGCAACACUGGGACUGAUACACGGGCCAAACUCCUACGGGAGGCAGCAGUGGGGAAUCUUAUACCAUGGGGGCAACCCUGAUCUAACCAUGCCGCGUGGGUGAUGAAGGCCCUAGGGUCGGACAGCUCUUUCGACAGGGAUGAUAAUGACUGUACCUGGUUUAGAAACCCCGACUAACUCCGUGCCAGCAGCCCUGGGUAUACAGAGGGGGUUAGCGUUGUUCGGAAUUACUGGCCGUAAAGCGCGCGUAGGCGGAUUAGGCGGUCAGAGGUGAAAUCCCAUGGCUCAACCCUGGAACUGCCUUUGAUACUGCUAGACUUGAGAUCGAGAGAGGUGAGUGCUAAUUCCGAGUGUAGAGGUGAAAUUCGCACAUAUUCAGUAUGAACACCACUGGCGAAGCUCCUCACUGGCUCGAUACUGACGCUGAAUGCGAAAGUGUGCAGAGCAAAAGGAACAUAUACCCUGUUAGU